This is a long non-coding RNA of Coffea arabica (coffee), 887 nucleotides long. RefSeq lists it as uncharacterized. Lineage: Eukaryota; Viridiplantae; Streptophyta; Magnoliopsida; Gentianales; Rubiaceae. The record is from RefSeq and is a predicted model, not a curated record.
GUGUGAUCUGAGUUGGUUUUUGUGAGCUGUGAUUUUGGGAGUAUUUGCGAUCGAUGGGCAGCAUAUCACAGGUGCAAAGUGAAGUGCCACGGAGAGAGAGAGAGAGAGGGGUCGGGUCGGGGUGAUACUACUCGUAGCUUGCAGCUGCAGGGAUGGGAAUUGGUUGGAGAAAUGCUAUCCUGCACCCCGACUGCAUCAGGGUACUGAUGCUGAUGAUGGUGGACGGAUGGGCAUCCAACGGCGGGGGACUUGAUAGGGAGUAGGGGUUGCAGCUGUUUGUUGGGCACAGGACCACAGGGGAGUUGGGGGUACACGUGGCGGGAAUAGGUUUGGGUGGUGAAUUGGCAUCAUGGAUCAGGGGCUCCGCACAAAUGGAAGCUAAUGUAGAAGCCGUACAAGUAGUGGAAGGACUAGGAAGGGGUAGCAGAGCGCAGCAGAGAGAGAGUACAAGUUGCUGGCCCGUCUCAAGAAGGGGAGACGAGACGUUGUAGAGGUGUUGGGUUGGCAACUGGCUGGUCCGGAACCGGAACCAACAACUUCUUGGGUCUCUGGGUGUCAAUGGAGUGGAGGAGGACAAAAUCAAGGAAGGACCGACUUGAGGCCGGCAGGCAGAGCUGGAUCAACAGACCAGCUGCAGCCACGGACUCGAAUCUCACAAUACUGCUCUGGAAAGAGAGAGACUAAUAAACUACCAAAUACCAAUAGCAGGAACGGAAAGUUUCAAGUCUGCAAAUUUGCUCCACGUCAUUUAUUUUUCGAGGCCUUCUGCCCAAAUUUUUUUUUCUGUUGGGUACUCCCAACUCUUCUAAAUCAACUGUUGGCCGUCGGGCACGCUCGAAGCCAUGACCAUCAUUUUUUAUAUUUUUUUAUUGGGUCUGGUUAUUGUA